Molecule: transfer RNA, 89 nt
Filed under: Ignavibacteria bacterium
Lineage: Bacteria; Pseudomonadati; Ignavibacteriota; Ignavibacteria
Description: tRNA-Leu
Rfam family: tRNA
About the family: Transfer RNA (tRNA) molecules are approximately 80 nucleotides in length. Their secondary structure includes four short double-helical elements and three loops (D, anti-codon, and T loops).
Source: RNAcentral
GCCCGGGUGGCGGAACAGGUAGACGCGCAGGACUUAAAAUCCUGUUCACUGCAAAGUGAGUAUCGGUUCGAUUCCGAUCUCGGGCACCC